RNAcentral lists this non-coding RNA (24 nucleotides) under Arabidopsis thaliana (thale cress). Lineage: Eukaryota; Viridiplantae; Streptophyta; Magnoliopsida; Brassicales; Brassicaceae. The record is from RNAcentral.
AGCGCAAUUGUUACAUGCUACUAA